RNAcentral lists this ribosomal RNA (492 nucleotides) under uncultured bacterium. RNAcentral describes it as "partial 16S ribosomal RNA". It matches the Rfam family "Bacterial small subunit ribosomal RNA", at positions 29 to 507 of the family's 1533-position model. The record is from RNAcentral.
AGUGAACGCUGGCGGUAGGCCUAACACAUGCAAGUCGAACGGCAGCACAGUAAGAGCUUGCUCUUACGGGUGGCGAGUGGCGGACGGGUGAGGAAUACAUCGGAAUCUACUUUUUCGUGGGGGAUAACGUAGGGAAACUUACGCUAAUACCGCAUACGACCUACGGGUGAAAGCAGGGGAGCUUCGGACCUUGCGCGAUUGAAUGAGCCGAUGUCGGAGUAGCUAGUUGGCGGGGUAAAGGCCCACCAAGGCGACGAUCCGUAGCUGGUCUGAGAGGAUGAUCAGCCACACUGGAACUGAGACACGGUCCAGACUCCUACGGGAGGCAGCAGUGGGGAAUAUUGGACAAUGGGCGCAAGCCUGAUCCAGCCAUACCGCGUGGGUGAAGAAGGCCUUCGGGUUGUAAAGCCCUUUUGUUGGGAAAGAAAAGCAGCAGGUUAAUACCCCGCUGUUCUGACGGUACCCAAAGAAUAAGCACCGGCUAACUUCGUG